UUGAACGCUGGCGGCAUGCUUUACACAUGCAAGUCGAACGGUAACAGGCCUUCGGGUGCUGACGAGUGGCGAACGGGUGAGUAACAUAUCGGAACGUACCCUAUCGUGGGGGAUAACACAUCGAAAGAUGUGCUAAUACCGCAUACGACCUGAGGGUGAAAGCAGGGGAUCGCAAGACCUUGCGCGACAGGAGCGGCCGAUAUCGGAUUAGCUAGUUGGUGAGGUAAAGGCUCACCAGGGCGACGAUCCGUAGCUGGGCUGAGAGGACGACCAGCCACACUGGAACUGAGACACGGUCCAGACUCCUACGGGAGGCAGCAGUGGGGAAUUUUGGACAAUGGGGGCAACCCUGAUCCAGCCAUUCCGCGUGAGUGAAGAAGGCCUUCGGGUUGUAAAACUCUUUCGGCAGGAACGAAACGGUGAGCUCUAACAUAGCUUGCUAAUGACGGUACCUGAAGAAGAAGCACCGGCUAACUACGU
RNAcentral lists this ribosomal RNA (480 nucleotides) under uncultured bacterium. RNAcentral describes it as "bacterial SSU rRNA". It matches the Rfam family "Bacterial small subunit ribosomal RNA", at positions 30 to 506 of the family's 1533-position model. The record is from RNAcentral.